RNAcentral lists this ribosomal RNA (252 nucleotides) under uncultured bacterium. Its description in RNAcentral is "partial 16S ribosomal RNA". It matches the Rfam family "Bacterial small subunit ribosomal RNA", at positions 524 to 776 of the family's 1533-position model. The record is from RNAcentral.
UACGUAGGGUGCAAGCGUUGUCCGGAAUUAUUGGGCGUAAAGAGCUCGUAGGCGGUUUGUCGCGUCUGCUGUGAAAACCCGAGGCUCAACCUCGGGCCUGCAGUGGGUACGGGCAGACUAGAGUGCGGUAGGGGAGAUUGGAAUCCUGGUGUAGCGGUGGAAUGCGCAGAUAUCAGGAGGAACACCAAUGGCGAAGGCAGAUCUCUGGGCCGUAACUGACGCUGAGGAGCGAAAGCGUGGGGAGCGAACAGG